UGGAAGACAUAAUACAGUAAUGGGCUGAUACAAGUGUUUAAUAAAUAUUACCAUAUGUCCAAUUGUUUUGUUUAGGUCGGUUGUACGAUGUCGUUUUCAUUUUUCUUUUUGGUAUUCAUUCUUCAAUUCUUUCGGCCUAAUUUCAUCUGGGUUUUUUUUCGAAUUCUCCUUAGUAUGAUGCUUGUCCAGACUCAAUCAAGGAAGAAACACAGUAGAAAGUUUGUGAUGUCAUUAAAUGAGGAAGAUAUCUGUAAUGCUGGUAAUUGCAACUGCUUAAUGUAGUCAAAGCUUGUAAACUUUUUAGUUCAAGUUAUGUUUUCGUUGUAGAGUUGAUAAAACUAAGGAAAUUAUAUGUAGUAAUAUUUGUAUGAAUAAAUUAGAUGCAAGGAUUAUUUUGUGUAUAGUCUUAUUAAAAUUUGUAUACAAUAGUUCAUUGUCCAAAAUGGAUUAUUUUUUAAUUGUAAUUGUUAAUUGUAAAUUUUCAAUAGCAUCAAUAUAUAAAGUGCCAUCCCAAAUGACCAUGACUA
Long non-coding RNA from Chenopodium quinoa (quinoa), 527 nucleotides. RefSeq lists it as uncharacterized. The transcript is spliced from 3 exons. NCBI's taxonomy places the organism in Eukaryota, Viridiplantae, Streptophyta, Magnoliopsida, Caryophyllales, Amaranthaceae. The record is from RefSeq and is a predicted model, not a curated record.